CGUAACCUAAUAAAGAUAAAAAUAAAAUAUUGUGAAGGUUUAGAAUAAAAUUCAAAUAAUCGUAAGUUGCAGUUACGCGUGGAAUACGACAUUUCAAUGUAUUCAGUUAAUAAAAACAAAACUAAAACUUUACACGUUAAAAAUUUAUGGACUUGAAUUUAAGUAUGUAAAUUUGUUGGAUCGAUUAUUGUCCAAAUUAAUGUUGUAACAAGUUAUCCAAAGAAAUUCAACAUUUGUAGUAUAUCAGUUAAAUUUCUGCUCUGAAGUGUGUCAGUUGGUGAACGUUGUUAAUGGCAACCAAAUUUAUAAAUAAAGGCAGGUUGGAUGAAAAAAAAAAUACACCAUGUUCGAUUUGGAAUAUGGCUCUUUCUUCUCCAUAAAACUACAGUCCAAUUUUUUAAAGGCUUUCGAACGCGCAUUCACCGGCAUCAAUGGCGAACGAUAAUGUGUAUAAGACCACUACCCAGAAGAUCUCGAUGCAUCAAGUUUCUGCGUUCGCAACGUAACUGAUCCAUUAGUAGUUCAUGUUCAGCCAUACCAGCUGUGGCCGCA
Bactrocera neohumeralis is the source of this 552-nucleotide long non-coding RNA. RefSeq lists it as uncharacterized. The record is from RefSeq and is a predicted model, not a curated record. The transcript has 3 exons. NCBI's taxonomy places the organism in Eukaryota, Metazoa, Arthropoda, Insecta, Diptera, Tephritidae.